UGCUACAGGAGAAAGCAGAGGCCAAGAGU
RNAcentral lists this non-coding RNA (29 nucleotides) under Homo sapiens (human). Lineage: Eukaryota; Metazoa; Chordata; Mammalia; Primates; Hominidae. The record is from RNAcentral.